This 497-nucleotide ribosomal RNA is filed under the name uncultured bacterium. Its description in RNAcentral is "partial 16S ribosomal RNA". It matches the Rfam family "Bacterial small subunit ribosomal RNA", at positions 28 to 507 of the family's 1533-position model. The record is from RNAcentral.
GAUGAACGCUGGCGGCGUGCCUAACACAUGCAAGUCGAGCGGACGGACGAGGCUUUUGCUUGGAUGAUGUGAGCGGCGGGUGGGUGAUUCACACGAGUCUACCUUGCCUUUAAGUCUGACAUCCUUUAGCGAACGCGUAUACUACAUCGGAUCAUAUUUUGAACCGCGUGGUUCUUCGGACAACGCCGGUCUUGCUGUCACUAAUAGGUGUUUCCGAGCUGGUUUAGCUAGUUGGUACGGUAACGGCUUACCAAGGCGACGAUGCAUAGACGACCUGAGAGGGUGAUCGGCCACACUGGAACUGAGACACGGUCCAGACUCCUACGGGAGGCAGCAGUGGGGAAUCUUGCGCAAUGGGCGAAAGCCUGACGCAGCAACGCCGCGUGUGUGACGAAGGUCUUCGGAUCGUAAAGCUCUUUUAGUUGGGAGGAACAUCUGUCAAAUUAUAUGUUGCCGUCUUGACGGUACCUAAUCAAAAAGCACCGGCUAACUACGUG